CGGACGGGUGAGUAACGCGUGGGUAACCUGCCUUGUACUGGGGGACAACAGUUGGAAACGACUGCUAAUACCGCAUAAGCGCACAGCUUCGCAUGAAGCAGUGCGAAAAACUCCGGUGGUACAAGAUGGACCCGCGUCUGAUUAGCUGGUUGGUGAGGUAACGGCCUACCAAGCCGACGAUCAGUAGCCGACCUGAGAGGGUGACCGGCCACAUUGGGACUGAGACACGGCCCAA
This 235-nucleotide ribosomal RNA is filed under the name uncultured bacterium. RNAcentral describes it as "partial 16S ribosomal RNA". It matches the Rfam family "Bacterial small subunit ribosomal RNA", at positions 99 to 334 of the family's 1533-position model. The record is from RNAcentral.